Molecule: ribosomal RNA, 828 nt
Filed under: uncultured Gammaproteobacteria bacterium
Lineage: Bacteria; Pseudomonadati; Pseudomonadota; Gammaproteobacteria
Description: bacterial SSU rRNA
Rfam family: Bacterial small subunit ribosomal RNA
Source: RNAcentral
AGCCUGAUCCAGCCAUGCCGCGUGUGUGAAGAAGGCCUUUUGGUUGUAAAGCACUUUAAGCGAGGAGGAGGCUACCUGGAUUAAUACUCUGGGAUAGUGGACGUUACUCGCAGAAUAAGCACCGGCUAACUCUGUGCCAGCAGCCGCGGUAAUACAGAGGGUGCGAGCGUUAAUCGGAUUUACUGGGCGUAAAGCGUGCGUAGGCGGCUGAUUAAGUCGGAUGUGAAAUCCCUGAGCUUAACUUAGGAAUUGCAUUCGAUACUGGUCAGCUAGAGCAUGGGAGAGGAUGGUAGAAUUCCAGGUGUAGCGGUGAAAUGCGUAGAGAUCUGGAGGAAUACCGAUGGCGAAGGCAGCCAUCUGGCCUAAUACUGACGCUGAGGUACGAAAGCAUGGGGAGCAAACAGGAUUAGAUACCCUGGUAGUCCAUGCCGUAAACGAUGUCUACUAGCCGUUGGGGCCUUUGAGGCUUUAGUGGCGCAGCUAACGCGAUAAGUAGACCGCCUGGGGAGUACGGUCGCAAGACUAAAACUCAAAUGAAUUGACGGGGGCCCGCACAAGCGGUGGAGCAUGUGGUUUAAUUCGAUGCAACGCGAAGAACCUUACCUGGCCUUGACAUAGUAAGAACUUUCCAGAGAUGGAUUGGUGCCUUCGGGAACUUACAUACAGGUGCUGCAUGGCUGUCGUCAGCUCGUGUCGUGAGAUGUUGGGUUAAGUCCCGCAACGAGCGCAACCCUUUUCCUUACUUGCCAGCAUUUCGGAUGGGAACUUUAAGGAUACUGCCAGUGACAAACUGGAGGAAGGCGGGGACGACGUCAAGUCAUCAUGGCC